This 21-nucleotide microRNA is filed under the name Drosophila ananassae. Its description in RNAcentral is "Dan-Mir-2-P3a-v2_5p* (star (passenger))". Lineage: Eukaryota; Metazoa; Arthropoda; Insecta; Diptera; Drosophilidae. The record is from RNAcentral.
CUCCUUAAAGUGGCGGUGACA